CCGCCCUCCUGUAGGAGCCGCCGGCAAGGAGGCGACGCGGGAGCUCGUUUGAACGUAGCCGGAAAGGAGGAGUUGAGAUUACAGACAUCUGCCAAAAAUGAUUUCUUCAAAGCCCAAACUUGUCAUACCUUAUGGGCUUAAGACACUGCUCGAGGGAGUUAGCAGAGCCGUCCUCAAAACCAGGCCGCAAAACAUCACCCAGUUUGCAGCAGUUUAUUUUAAAGAACUUAUUCUGUUUAGAGAAGGGAAUGCUUCUCUGGAUAUAAAAGAUCUGGUUAAGCAGUUUCAGCAGGUUAAAG
Molecule: long non-coding RNA, 299 nt
Organism: Rhinolophus ferrumequinum (greater horseshoe bat)
Lineage: Eukaryota; Metazoa; Chordata; Mammalia; Chiroptera; Rhinolophidae
Exons: 3
Source: RefSeq, a predicted model, not a curated record